Molecule: long non-coding RNA, 3460 nt
Organism: Triplophysa rosa
Lineage: Eukaryota; Metazoa; Chordata; Actinopteri; Cypriniformes; Nemacheilidae
Exons: 3
Source: RefSeq, a predicted model, not a curated record
AUGGAGGAAAUGCGUUUUCUUUAGCUUGUCUUCAUAAUUAAAUCUACUAGCAACGCUACUUCAAUGAAUUUUCGGGGCUGGAAAUCAAUUUAUACUUUCCCGAAACAACCUCGUCUUCAAGGAGAGUGGGGCUCAUGGUUGCUUAGCAACGGUAGACAACAUUGUGCUUAUUCUGAGGCCCUGGGAGAAAAGAAGAAAGCGGAGCGGCAGCGUUUUCAACUCAUUUUUAGACAUGUUAAUGCCUCUUACUGUCACAAAACUCAAUUCUCGCUCGCAUGGUAUGCCCCCGACAAAAAACUGACAGCUGUUUAUAAAUGUGGGGUCUGUGUCCAGCACGCGCACGUACAGCUCGAGCAGAGCAGCGUCUGACUGAAUGGUCAUCUUCAGAGUGUUUUUUCUGAGGUCAUUCUGGUCUGUUCAUUCACUUCUCAUUACAGACAGUGGAGACAGACAGGAAGUGAUGAAGAGGAAAGAGGGCAGCAGGAUCGUGAAAGGACCACGACCCGGGUCUUGAUAUAGGUCGCCCAAAGCACAGUUGCACCGCAUGUCUGUAGCACUAUCCACAAGACUGCAGGGUCUGACAGGUGUUAGUAUAUUCUGGUGUAAACUAUGGCUACAGUUUGAUGACAGUUAUUUAAAAUGCACAAGGCUGCAUGUGGCAUAUUUCAGUUUCAACAGUACGAAGGUUGAAUAGGAUUCAUGUUUCUUAAGCCGGGACACACUAGCUCAGGGAUGGUGAAUUUUGAUCCUGGAGGGCUACUGGCCUGCAGAGUUUAGCCCCAAACUACUCCAAUACAUACCUGCAGUGAAGCUUCUAGUAAUGUGUGUUUGAUUAGGGUUGCAGAUAAGCACUGCAGGACAGUGGCACUCCAGGAUCAAGGUUCCCCACCCCUGGACUAGCUGAAACAUUCUAAAACUAGACACAACACACUUCAAAAGUUUUUCUUGCGACUGGAACCGAUUCCAGUCUUUGACAGUCAAAAAGGGGCACAUACCUAACCACAUUCAGACCACUGACUACACAUUUAGGGACUCUUAAAAGAGUCUUGUUAGGUGUGUGCUGCUUUCUGACUGUCAAAGACGUUCUGUUGACAUGUCAGAUUUAUCACUCUAUGUAGCCUACUCAUGAGUAUUAUAUUCCUGUUUUGUCAGUAAUAUAACCCAACAGUAAAGCAACCAAGAUGUUCAGAUUUGUCUUUUUUUCCAAGGUUAUGCGUUUUUUGUUUUAUACUUCAUGCAUGGUAAUGAAAACAAGAGUCAAGAAAAUAAUUGAUUAUUCCUAAAUCAUUCCAUAUGUACAAAACCUUUACAUAAUGCAGUUACGCAUAAGUCUGGAGCACCAAAACAGAAACGGCAUCUCUUAAUGCAGUUUAAAAGUUAAAAACUAGUUAACUAAUAAAAAUAAUCAACACAAAAAUACAAAGCGUCCUAAAUAACCUGAUCGCUAACAACCGCAAGGUGUUUACCUGCAGCCUCCGAGCCUGAAGUUUACUUUACAAAGCAUGUGAAACAGUAUAACGUGAUGAUCACAUGGCGACUCGAAAGGUUAUGUAUGAUCUCUCCGUUAUUUUCAGCAGUCUGCUUUUACUCAAGCUCUGCACAUGCUCGAUAAAGAGUCUCGGGAUAUAAUGAUUGUUGUGGGUGUAAGUAUAUAUUAGGCCUACUAAAAAAUACCAUAGCUUAAUGUUUGUUGUUGCAUUCAUUCUUCCAAUUAUUGGUUAUUCAAAAACAUCAAUAUAAUAACACAACAAUAGCUUUUUUAUUUGUGUCAACAUUUCUUUCAUUUCUGUGUACAGUCUCCAGUGCAGCCGUCAUCAAUCUCAAUCUUAAAUAUUAAACGCGUUUAAUACAAUCUUAGUGAAGACGACUGAUAACGACUUGCUUAUAAAUAAUAAGACACUACACAUUGAACGAUUUUAUCUGUCUAAUGUAAACAACGUCUGAGGCUGACCACAAAAGAAGAGAUCAGCGGUUAUGAUCAAAUUCAAUCCUAAUUUUAGUGAAAACUGUUAAAAGUGUUCCCGGCUCUAUAGGCGUUUUGUUGUCAAUAUAUGUUCCUAAUGUUUGUAUUUUAUUUUUUCAACUCAAGAUUAGGGAUGGGCGAUAUGGCCCUAAAACUCUAUCACGAUAAUUCCUGGUAUUUGUUGCGAUUACAAUAAAAAUGACGAUAUAUCCAUAACGCCAUCCACCUCUGUUUUUUGCCUCAAGUGAUAGUAGCUGCAUGUAGUCAAGGGCCCGGUUGCAAAAAGCACCUUAAGUUUUUCCCUUAAGUAUGACACUUAAGGGGUGAUUUUCCUUUACCAAAGACAAUAGGAGAAUAACUUAAGUAAAACUUAAGGUAUACUUAAGGGAAAUUUACACUUAAGGUGCUUUAUGCAACCGGGCCUAGACCCUCAGAAAAACAAAUAUGAUCAAAAAGUAAAACUUACCCCAAAUCAAACAGCUCCAAAAAUAUACCUACAGUAUUUUUGUAAAUAUAAAAUAUAAUAGUGAGAUUCGACUUCAAAAGGUUGUAGUAAAGAAAAGUUAAAUGAACUAAAGCUCAAUAAACACAUCAUGUCAUACCUAAAACUGUAUAUAUUCUAUUGUUGGGUGGAAACGAUCGAUCGCAUCACGCUGUCAAUCACUCUCUCUUGAACUGUGUGAACCUUCUCUUCUCACAGCAACAUACACUGAAUCUGUCUAUGACUCGCGCUACAGAAAGAGAACAGAAAAAUGCGGAUUAAAGAUAUCUAAUUAAAUAAUCCAUGCUUUUAUACGCUCAUAAACGUAUUUAAAAUAACGUCAUACAAACUCGCAUUUUGUACUGUAUGUGAACAGGCAGCAGUGCUGUGUGCGCUGUCGCUAUGAAAGCACAUGUGGGCGCGAGCUGCGCACGGGACGCUCCGUUCAUCCUGUAUAUAACAGGCAAGAAAUCAUAUUAAACUAUUUGCGCACGUAACAUCUAACGAAUGUUUAAAUAAAUACUUUUAGCCAAACUAAAUGUUGUGGUGUAACGUAUUAUGACUAUCAACGAAUACUUAACAAAUGAAUUAAAUAAAACGAAAGUGAAACUAAACAUUAACUCGGAUGCAUCUACAGUGCCAACCUAAACGAGAUUUAGAGCUCGUCUUUUAGUUCAAACUCUUUCUCAGCUUCACGUCCACCCUCCGCUAUACCCGUUUACGCUUCACAUAUGAGCUGUGAAUGGGUCUCACAAAGAAAUACGUCAUCAACUAGAAUUUAUCGUUAAUAUCGAGGGAAGACUAAUUCCUAUCAUGUGGGGAAUUUCUCUCGGUAUAUCGCAAACGAUAUAAUAUCGCCCAUCCCUACUCAAGAUAUAGCCUGUGUUUUUUUGUGUUAUUAAAUGUUUUAUGGUUUGUUCAUAACAUUUGCCUUAUUGUAUCAUUUCUAUUCUAAAAAUAUAAAGACUAUUUUCAUAUUGCCUUGCAGUAAAUACAGUACAUGCAUUAUUGUUGUA